AGAACUGGCCACCUUACAUGCAUCACCCCCCCCCCCCCCCAAAAAAAAACCAAUUCUUUUGCACCUAUUUCUCCUCCAACACCCUCUAGGGCAGAGCUUUCCAGUUUGUCAAGACACAUUUUUGUGUCAACUGCAGUGUGUAAAUGUGUUGCGUGAAUGUAACAAGAUAGCUCUGAGCCAAUGUGAAAUUGAAUAACCAAUACCACCGAGACGUGGAAACUUGAUGACAAAAUGAGCGUCUUGAGAAACUGCAAGUCAUUUCUGGUGUGAGAGAAUUGGCCAUCUGCAAACACGUUGUCCAUGGGAUACCCGGAUGUUUUUGAUGUUUUUACCAUCCUUGCAGGAGGCUUCUCUCAUGUCCCCGCAUGGAGCUGGAGCUGAUAGAGGUCCAGAGUCGAAGGGCAGCCACCAAGAUGGAAGGCCCUCUCUUGUUCCCACCGUCAUCCUGGGUUGAAUUUGAACCGGCAACCUUCAGGUCAGCAACCCAACCUUCAAGUCAUCAGUCCUGCCAGCACAAGGGUUUAACCCACUGUGCCAUCGGGGGGUUCCAUACAAUAAUGAUCAUUAUAAUAAUAAUUUCAGCUUAGUAGAGCCUAAAGCCUUCUCAUUUUAUUUUCCAUUUGGGGGCAGGACUGAGGAUCACAAAAAUGGUUCUGAGGGCACAUGCACUUUGUCUACCUCUGCUCUAGACCAGGGCUUCUGAGACCUUUUCCCCUUUCCACCCAAAAAAUGUUUGCAUAAUCCCAGAAAUAUACUGUAUUCCUUCAAUUCUAAGAUGCACUUUUUCCUAUAUAAAAUCUCUAAAAAUGGGAUGCAUAUUAGAAUCGCAGGUGUAUUUUAUGUAUUUUUGUUGGUGGUGUUGCUACUUAAAUUAGGGUGCAUCUUACAACUGAAAAAAUAGAUAUAUAAAAUAGGUUUAAAAAUCAAACAUUUACAGAUAAUAUAUCAGUAUUUGCCACCUUGGCUAAACAGGCUGUUUUUUUUAAUGAAGUAAAGCUGAAGCAUUUUCUGCAGAGUCCACUAUAAACACUGCUCGUUGUUGCUACCAGAUUUGUUUAAAUGUCUAAACCAGCCACUGCAUAGCUUUCAGAAACAUUGAGCUAAGGGAAUCCCAUUUGGAAUCGGGACCCACAGUUUAAGAAGCAGUGCUCUAGACUACCUGAAAGCCAUAUGACCCUAUAUCAGUGGUUCUCAACCUGUGGGUCCCCAGGCGUUUUGGCCAACAACUCCCAGAAAUCCCAGCCAGAAUAACAGCUGUUGGGAUUUCUGGGAGUUGAAGGCCAAAAUAUCUGGGGACCCACAGGUUGAGAACCACUGCCCUAUAUAUAGAUGACAUACUUUUAUAAUUUUAGAGAGGCUUUCCCUCCAUUCUGCCAUGCUCUCCAUCUCCUGUGGUGCUUACAGUGGAGAGCCUUCUCAGUGGUUGCUCUUGGCUGUAAACCUCCCUCCGUAAGGAAACUUUGGGCCCUUCCAGAUAGGCCCUAUAUCCAGGUCCUGAACCCAAGUUUAUCUAGCAGUGUGGACUCAUAUAAUCCAGUUUAAAGCAGAAAUCCUGGGAUUGGGGCCUGUCUGGAAGGGCCCCAUGUUGGUCCUCUCCUUGCUGUCUUUUGCCAGUAGGCAAAGCACUUUCUGUUUAAAUAGGUCUUAAGCCUUUAUCUGAUUUGGUCAAAAUGUUAUAUAACAGCUUUUUAAAAAAUGUAAAAUGUUUCUAUUGUUAUAAAAUUAUUGCUUUAAUUUGAUUGAUUGUUUCAUGCUUUUAAACCUUUCAUACCAGAUAAGGCUUUAGGUAUUUUAUUUCUGUCGUGUUUUGGGAAAAAUCUUAAUACAUGAAUAAAAUUCCAGGAUCAUUCCUUGAAUUAUGUUGGCCACCUUCUACACUUUCCCUACCAUUCUCCCCUUCAGAGAGUUGACUGGAUCUGAGUUACUGUUCUCUUGGAAUUGAGAUCUCAUUUCUUGCUAAGAUCCAGUGCACCUUGUAAAGCCUUCCUUGCUGCAAAAUACGCAGUUAUUUCCAGAUACAAAGAAGUACAAGCAGGUAGAGAAAGUGUGUAUCUGCGGGCCACUUCAAGUCAAAAUUGGAUGUUCUUUCUUGGCUCAUGUUUAUGGACACAUUUUACAUUUUAGAAUAUUCACUGUAAUAAUGAGGAGCUGCAUAUACAACACAAGAUAACUCUUUAUAAAUCUUUGUAAAUUCAAAGUUCAGGAAUACAAACAACAACCAGUAACAUUACUACUUAACCAACUUUCUUUAAAGAGAAUAAUUUCCCUUCUAUUAAAUCUCCUUAUGGUCACUGAAUAACAUGUGCAUUUGUUCUUGUUUGAAAAUUAUCUACACGUUGUGUCUAUAUCUUUACUCAGAGUGUGCCAAUAUUUAAUGUGCUCCAUGAAUAUCCAGAACCACAGAUGUAAUUUCAGGAAGCAGUGAGUCGGAUUUAAUUGUUGUUAUUCGGUUAAUCCUUCCCUAAAAAUACAAUUUGUAUUUUUAGUUCA
Molecule: long non-coding RNA, 2490 nt
Organism: Anolis carolinensis (green anole)
Lineage: Eukaryota; Metazoa; Chordata; Lepidosauria; Squamata; Anolidae
Exons: 2
Source: RefSeq, a predicted model, not a curated record